AGUCAAGUAAUUAAGUGCAUGUGGUGGAUGCCUUGGCAGUCAGAGGCGAUGAAAGACGUGAUAGCCUGCGAAAAGCUCCGGGGAGGCGGCAAAUAUCCUUUGAUCCGGAGAUGUCUGAAUGGGGGAACCCACCUACUUUAAGGUAGGUAUUGCAACAUGAAUACAUAGUGUUGCAAGGCGAACGAGGGGAAGUGAAACAUCUCAGUACCCUUAGGAAAAGAAAUCAAUUGAGAUUCCCUCAGUAGCGGCGAGCGAACGGGGAUCAGCCCAUUAAGUUAUGUGUGUUUUAGUGGAACGCUCUGGGAAGUGCGAACGUAGAGGGUGAUAUUCCCGUACACGAAAGGGCACACAUAAUGAUGACGAGUAGGGCGAGGCACGUGAAACCUUGUCUGAAUAUGGGGGGACCAUCCUCCAAGGCUAAAUACUCCUGACUGACCGAUAGUGAACCAGUACCGUGAGGGAAAGGCGAAAAGAACCCCUGUGAGGGGAGUGAAAUAGAUCCUGAAACCGCAUGCAUACAAGCAGUGGGAGCACCUUCGUGGUGUGACUGCGUACCUUUUGUAUAAUGGGUCAGCGACUUAUAUUCAGUAGCGAGGUUAACCGUAUAGGGGAGCCGUAGAGAAAUCGAGUCUUAAUAGGGCGUUUAGUUGCUGGGUAUAGACCCGAAACCAGGCGAUCUAUCCAUGAGCAGGUUGAAGGUUGGGUAACACUAACUGGAGGACCGAACCCACUGU
This 734-nucleotide ribosomal RNA is filed under the name Acinetobacter baumannii. Its description in RNAcentral is "partial 23S ribosomal RNA". It matches the Rfam family "Bacterial large subunit ribosomal RNA", at positions 1 to 786 of the family's 2925-position model. The record is from RNAcentral. Lineage: Bacteria; Pseudomonadati; Pseudomonadota; Gammaproteobacteria; Moraxellales; Moraxellaceae.